UCCAGCAUGGUACCUACGAAUGAAGCUCCUACAAUCACAAGAUUCUUCCCAGUUGCCAGCUCUAAGACCUUGCUAGAAUCCUCUGGGGUUUGAAGAUGACACACGUUCUGCAGGUCUGCACCUGGGACUUCGAGGAAGCUGGAGCUGAGAGAGAGAGAGAACCAAGAAGAGCUCCAAUCCCCACAAAUGAACCAUUUUGUCCCAUCAGAAAAGGUGCAUGUGACAAAUGCUUUGUGCACUCACUGUCCACCUGUUGCAAUGAGCAGCUGGUUGUACUUCUGAGAGGAUCCGUCCAUGAAGCAAACCUUCUGCUUCUGGAAAUCCACUGACGCUGCCUGCAGGAGAGAGGAGGUGAAGAUCAAGGAGGCAUUUUUCUGGGCCACUUCUGUCCUGUCACAUCAAUUCUCCUCCUCAUGGCAGGAAGAGAACCAUCCACUGAGGACUGAUCUCAGCUGCUUUUGCACCUCUUUCUCUGUCCAGAGCUCUAUGCCAUGAGCGCACAGGAAUUCAGGCUUCCUCAGGUAGAUGUCCUCAGCUUUUAAAUUCAUUUCCUGGAAGCAAAGCAGAAGUAUGAAAUAAAGCAGUUCUUACAGUCAGCAGUGCUCUUGCAGUUUACUGGGAAGUAGGUUUGCAUUAGAAGCAAAUCCUGCACUAGCACAUCAUGGCUACUCACACUGUCCCAUCCCCAUCACUUCCAUGCUCCUCCUCAAAGUGGGAAGAACUCAGCCAGAGGAUAAAGCCAUUUGCUAAUGGUGUACUCUGAUCAAGAGGAAGUGAGACACUAGCUGGAAAUGACACCCAUUUUUCUUGCCUGAUAGCUGCCUUGCCAGAAUGGAUCACCUGAUCACUCAACCUGGUUCUGAGCAUGGGCUGUGCCCCUAAUUCACACACAUUACCCAGGCACAGUCCUUUCUCACCGACAAACCUUGCUCAGUUUGGACUUGUCAUACGGAGCAUGUUUCUCUUUGGUGGCCAUGAUGAUCCUGCCAGUAAAGCCCUCUUGGCGAAGUGUCUCUGCACAGGUCAGGGCAGCCACACCUAUGAGAGAUGCUCAUCUCAGCCUUGUUAUGCAUCACCGCAGAGUGGGAGGCAGAAGAUGAGUCCUCCUUGGGGAUGAGAUUGGCAGCUCACAGUGUCUGUAGUGAGGAUGUGGUACAGACCACUUCACUGACCUCCCCCCAGGAGAAGCAUGGUGUUCCGGUUGAGAAGGCAUCGUUUGCUCAUGUCCUUCACCCUCAGGCUGCUUUCAAGAUCCUAGAAUAAAGUGAGAGAUGAUUAAAUUGUACCCA
Molecule: long non-coding RNA, 1289 nt
Organism: Tympanuchus pallidicinctus (lesser prairie-chicken)
Lineage: Eukaryota; Metazoa; Chordata; Aves; Galliformes; Phasianidae
Exons: 2
Source: RefSeq, a predicted model, not a curated record